GUCAGAGCAGCUUUCAUAUCUAGGGCCCUCACUCAAUUCUGUACUCCCUCCCUGCUAGCUGCACUAGUCUCCUCUGACUUAACAGGAAGCCUUCCUUCCCCCAGGUUCCCCUCAGGCAUGUCCCACCCCCCUUCCCGGUCUUGAGACAGGCUGUCUGAACUUCCUCCCUACGGACACUCUGUGCUGCCUUCUCUCAACUUUUUCCAGCAGAAAGUUGGGAGCUCCUCAGAGCUGAGCAGCACCUGUAGUGUUGCCAUUUGCAGGGAGAGGCACCGGAGGACCCCAACAGCUCACCCUCCAUCAAAGGUUAUCAGGGAACUGGGAGCCUGGGCGGAGGUAGGGGAAGGCAGAGAGAAAGAGUCCUUGUCUAGAUUUCCUAGUCUGUGCUUAACUCAGAACAGCUGGGUAUCUUUAGAGGCCCUUGGAGGGGUUCAGAGUUGUUGGGAAGAAACUAGCCAGGAACUGAAAAUUCAGGUAUGGGGGAGAAGCAGUAGAGCCAGAGUUCAGAGGUGAGAAGUGAGAGGGCACACUCUUGAUUGCCACACCCUGCCUUUUUCUCGGACCAAGGAAGGAGACAACAUAGGAGGGAGCAAGAGCACCACUCUGCCCUCACUCAGCAUUCUAGGAUGCUUGUGAGGUGCCAUGGUUCCCUGGCCUUCUGCUUCCUGCUUGUCCUGCUUGAAACUCCAGGUAAGUGACGUGGUGCCUUUCAGCUGCCUGGGAAUCCAUGU
Molecule: long non-coding RNA, 731 nt
Filed under: Marmota monax (woodchuck)
Lineage: Eukaryota; Metazoa; Chordata; Mammalia; Rodentia; Sciuridae
Source: RNAcentral